GCCUGAAUGGUCUAGUGGUAUGAUUCCUGCUUUGGGCAAUCCGAAAAUGCAGGAGGUCUCCGGUUCAAUCCCGGAUUCAGGCC
Molecule: non-coding RNA, 83 nt
Organism: Choiromyces venosus 120613-1
Lineage: Eukaryota; Fungi; Ascomycota; Pezizomycetes; Pezizales; Tuberaceae
Source: the annotation of a GenBank genome assembly